Molecule: non-coding RNA, 6557 nt
Organism: Punica granatum (pomegranate)
Lineage: Eukaryota; Viridiplantae; Streptophyta; Magnoliopsida; Myrtales; Lythraceae
Source: RefSeq, a predicted model, not a curated record
UCUUUUCUCUGCAGCUCUGAUCUCCUUGGCGUUUCUCUCGGCACGCUCGUUCCUGAAGAGGAAAAGGGGCAGAUCGUCCAGCCCCCUGGGCUCUUCCUCUCCUCUUCCCGUUUAGAUGAAACCUGCACUCCAUAAGGACAAACCGAGAGUGAAAAAAAAAAAAAUAGAGCAGAACAGAGAAAAAUGAAGAAAAAGACAGCACAGAGACAGAAAAGACCAGCUGAGGACCUCACUCUCGGGACCAGCUCACGGUCCCUCAGCUCGAGAACCCCACAGCUCAGCAAGAUCCUCUCUCACACGUUUCCCCUCAGCUCAUUCUUCUUUCCCCCACGACUCCCUCAGCUCGUCCUCCCCCAACUCCCAGACGCCUUCAGCUCCCUCUUACUCUCUUUCUCUCAGCUCUCACUCCAUCAGCUCACUUUCUGGCCCCCAUCCGAACCCGCAGCUCAACUCUUUUUUUUUUUUUUUCACGUAAAGACUCCCCUAACAGCACACGGUGGACCCGACACCCUCUUCCCCCUCAACUCACCGCAUGUGCCUCUCGGCCCUCCUGACCAACCCACUCCGAGCAUUCUCUUUCCCUCAGACUCUCCCUCUCUCUCCAUCAGCAACCGUUGUGGUUGCGGCUCCCUGAGUUGCCAUUCUCCCAGUCCCGGAGUUGAGUUGCCAGGCCGCCCGAGUUGCAGCCCGUUGCUGCCUCUUCCUCUUCCUUUUGCAGGUCUUUGUGGCUCUUGGACGUUGUCGGAGUUCAUUAUCGACGUUCAUCGCGCCUUGGAGUCAUCCAUUGCCGUUUUCAGCUGGAUAGUGAUCAACUAUCGUCACCAGGGGCGGAGCCAAUGAAGAAGCAGGGGGGCAAUUGCCCCCUGAACUUUGAAACUUUUAACUUUUGCCCCCAAAGUAUGAGAUUUUUUUAUAUAAAAUUAGUACUUUGCUCCCCCUGAACUUUAAAUUUUUUAAAUUUUACUCCAAACGUAUAAGUUUGCCCCCUGGAUAAAAAUCUUGGCUUCGCCCCUGAUCGUCACUACCACGGUCUGGACGCCCUGUCCUCGAGCUGUAGCCGCCAUCAUGGGAGCUUCCAGUCGCGUCCAGCCGCUGUUUUCGCCUCCUCUGGUCUUUCCCAAGCUAAGUAUACUGCCUGGUUUCUUUCUUUGCGUUUCCUGUUUGCUUGCUUGCAUUACCUGUCGUGCCCUUCGUAUUCUUUGUUUUUUUACUCUUCCUGGCAGUUGAGCUCCGCUGCCCCUUUCCUUGCCAUUGGAAUAUCCAUGAACAGCCCAUAACCGGUUGGUUCGAGAGGUCUUCAAAGUUCCCCGAGUUCCUCCCAAUUCUAGCUCGGGAGAGGUAAAAUUCUCGACUUUAGCGGCAUGCCUAGGACUCCCCUUGAUGUGUUUGUAUGAUAACUCGAAGAACGAGCGGAAAAGUGGGUCUUGCAAACCAUGGUGAUGAGCAGGAAUUUUUCAAACUCGAUUUCACAAAGUUUUCAGGAUGUUUCAGUUCAGUCCUUACAAGCUUUCGCUGUUUUCAGAAUCAACACAAAACUGUCCGAUCUGCUUCAACAUAGUCCUGGACCAUUUUCAGCAUUUUCAAUUCAGCCACUGAACUUCCAGACAAUUUAGAUCAGUCCAGAGAACUUCUAAUCAAUUUCCAGUUCAGUCCCUGACUUUCUUAACAAAUCCAGAAUGGUCCCUGACCGACGUUUUACAUUUUCAAAGUUACCCAUGACUUUUGAGCUGUUCCAAAUCAGUCCCUACGACCUUAACCGAAUUUUCAAAUCAGCCCCAAUUUUCUUGAAAUUGUUCAAUUUAGUCUUUGGAUAUUUUCCUUCAAAGUUUCCAAGUUUAAAUGAGAUCUCCAACCAUUUCUGCUUGGGUCCCUGAACGGUUUCUCACUUCCAACCCUUCUCCUCUUCGAUAUUAAUCAUUUCCCGAGUUUUUACAUUAUCUCGUUUCAUGAGUCAGUGUCGUUUAUCGAUUUCGUCAAUAUCUUGCUUGUGCAUGCUUAUAUGUUCAUAUGAGUUUUUCGAGACCAUGGCGGCACCGACUAUGUAAAAUAUGCGUGUUGAUCGUGUUUGAUACUUGAGCAUGCGAGAGUAGUCGGAAUCGGGUUAGAGAGACCAUCUAAGACCCGAAACGGGUCAAGGAGGCUCACGGCCAUUCUCUUGAGGAAAGAGCCGAAAAUCCCUUGGCCUUGUUUGGGUCAAGGACGGCCUCUUUACCUCAGUGAAAUCCUCUUCUCGCAUUGUGUGCAAUCACAUUUCUAACAUUGUUGCAAAUCGAGCUUUAAAAUGCUUGUUAAAACAUUAUUUUCCAAAUAAAGUGCAUAGAUUCGUGUAUAGGUGACUUUUGCAGGCCCACGAGGGUCUUAGGGUAUUUCGAUCAUUUUAAUUGGGCUCCCUCAGCUUUCGAGGACCCGUCUAGGUCGCCGUACCACGAGUCGUUUUCAUAAAAUUAAGCUUUUUGGGUAUCAAGACUCAAUUCAUGCGAUUAUCCAUGAUCUGCUUGAUUGUCUAAAACUCGUAGAUUAAUGAAUUCAGCAAUUUUUAAUUAACUUAAAAUUUCACACACGGACAAUCGAGACAUUAACUUCACUAAAAUAAAUCACUCAGCCUUUUUAAAAUAAAUUGCACGAACCGGUCAAUAAUCUGUAAACGUGUCGACAAUUCAAGAACUGUUGGCCAUGCCCUUUUAAAACUCACAAUUUCAAAAGUACCAAGAUACGUGUCACGCGUAGCAUGGAUAUCUAGGGAGUACUCGUAUAUCUUGACUCUAGGCCCGACUUGAGACGGCUCAAGUCGUGGUAUACGAGUUCUCUUUAGACCACUUCCGGGCGGAACAAUCGAUUUCUCGGCUCUUUCGGGAUCCUCACGACCCCGGUAGAUUUCAGGGAUCGGUCGACACCGGCUAUUGACUUUCGAUAAUCCGAAUAACGUAAUCUUGAUUUUUUAUGCACACACAUUUUCCGGUUCAAGGGCAUGACCAUCAGUUCUUGACUUGCCGACACCCUAGGCAUUAGGAUGGCCGAAACAUAUCGAAUAGGAAACAGGUGGACACCUGUCAAGGUACGAUUGUCACUCGUAUGCCCCCUCUUUUCCAUCGGUAUGUUUUUGUCACCCUAGUGUAGAUUCGGGCUCUUAGGGAAUUGGAUUAGAGGCACGAGCGAGAACUACACGUGAAGGGUUGUCCGAUCCCACAUGGGUCAUGUGUAGAGAUCUUGGCACCCACAUGGUAUUUCGUCCUCCCAUUUCCCUACGUUUGUGCUUAGAACCGGUCAAAACACGAAAGACAUGUUAAUCUCGAACCCGACUUAAUCAAACAAGGGCAAAUAGUCAAGUAAAAGGUUAGGUUUCGGGUUUUAGGCGAAAACACACUCUUGUCAUAAUCUGUAAAAGCUACAUUAUCACGAUACAUAACAAUCUCAAAACAAUCCACGCAUUCGAGACUUGACUACAGACAUCAUGUAUGUCGGGUCCACUAAAACACCGCCGAUGCUACAUACCCUCCUGAGGCGGUCCACGACCGAUUCACACCGAAUACAUCAUCUUGUUUGCUUGUUUAUGAUAGGAAUUUGCUUGCCAAGUAACCCCGGUUCAUAACCUGAUAAAUCACAUAAGCCCGGCAAUAAUACACAACUUGUUUGUUUUCUUCUGUAUUGAUAUGCUUUUGUCUGUUUUUCUCCGUCUUCUUGUGGGUCGAGUCCGAUCCUUUAGGAUACGAUUCACACAAGGUCCAAAGGCCAUAACCGUCGAUCACGGGGUCCAACGCCCCACGCACUUGAGCGCGCGCGACCCGAUUGCAAUAUGGGGUUUUGCCUUGGGUCACUGUCUUGACUCGGUUAGUAUCCACGUGGAGGAUGACUCGGGUCAAGACACAUGAAACGAGGUUAGACAAUCACCCAAGAGCUCGACUGGUCCCACAGCUAUCUCGAUGACCAUUCCGUCCUCUUGAAAAUCCGUCGAUUCGAUCGGACACGAUCUCCGGCUUUUAUGAGCCCGCAUUGCUUUAAUUUUAGUUUUGGUGUUUUUCCUAAACAUACGGUGAGUCUGAGUUGAAUAAUGAUCGAACGCGAACCGACCGGGAUUCAAUUAUUGUAAUUUGUAUUUUUAUUUAUUUAAGAGAACAAUAUAAAUAUUUAUUUUGUAUAUUUAUUCAUGUAAGAAUUCCGGUCGAAGAGUGAACGGUACGAGUACUAAAUCGGUUCAGUUGAUCUACUUACCUAGGGACGAGUAAACCAAUGCUUCGCGGUUUCGGUUCGCGCGAGACGCUGACCAUCGCAGUCCGAUGAACCGUUACAUGAGGAUAGUAAGUCGAUUUCUCGAUGUACGGGCCUACUCCUUUCUCGGGUUCUUAGUCUGAAUCGAUCGUUUUCUCUGAGCGCAGCUUAAUCAUGCGAUAAAUAAAUAAAAGUGGCAAGCUAUAGGCAAACAGAGUACCGAUAGGGAGUGCGGGAUAUAAGCCCGCACGUAACAAAACCCCCGAAUCCAAAAUUUCUGGUUUUGCAAGACCAAUACCUUAGGAAACUAGGUGUAUCCCAUCCUCCUAGACCCGGACAACUCACCAACCCUUGGCUUUUGGGUUGUAAAUAAGUAGUGACAACUCCUUCUCACGCGUGUUCGUCACGCAUCUACACAGAAAGGUGGACACUCCCAAGCCAUGCAAUCGAUCGCAUGUAUGCUGGCCUUGACAAGAUAAAAUUUGGGUCCGCACACCUACGAAUUGUUAUUGUGGGUUCGUAGCUCACUAUCUAACCACAAGAGAAUUUGGGGAGAUUACACGAAGGUCCAUUGACGAUGGCACCACAUCAUCAAAGGAAAAAUACUUCAGCUACUGGUCAAGUCAGUUAUACUCAAUCCCAAUCCUAUCUUGGUUUGCCAACAGCUCCUCAAAGCAUGUCGCCUCAAGUGGGAACUGCUAAUCAAACUGGUAGCCCGGUUGCCCCUACACUAGCUAAUUUAUUAACCUAAGGUUUAUUCUUUUUCAUAUUUACCCUUGUUUCAUAUUCUAACUACUUGUUCAUCUUGUAUAUGUUAACUUUCUUAUAUUAUUCAUAGGUACUACUUCUGCUACCAGAAAGAGAGGUUGUGGUUUAGCUAGAGGUUUUCAAGUCACGAAACGGCUUAAGGAGGGCAGAAAAAUUGAUGGAGUUAUCAUUUCUGAAGAUAACUACAAACCUGUAGGCUCAACUAAGAAAAUAUUUAGAUGAAGUUAGGCAUAAUCACCCGGUUACUAGCUCCCCCUUCAAGUAUUUUAUUGGAAGAGAAAUAAAAAUGAGAUGAAAGAGCCACUAUUUGCUCGUCUACAGGUAAGAGAAACUAUGAAUAUUCUAAUUUAAUUUAAGAUAUAUUAUGUGUUGCAUGUAUCUAGGAUGACUUUAGCUGCAAAUUUGAUGCUGAAAUGUGAUAAAACAAGCAUAUUUAUUUUCUUACUCUUUACUUUGGCUCUGUAGAGUGAAUUUCAAAUUUCUCUGUUUGAGCCACAUGCAAGAGAAGUGGUAGAUGCAACAAUGGUAGAUCAUUAUAGGCAAUUCUAGCGUAAUUGCUGCAAAUCCUAUUGAUGUGGAGGAGAUAGAUUGGAUUCCAUUAUGUGAGCAUUUCGAGAGUGAUGAAUUUAAGGUUUUUUUUUUAUCUAGUUAGCAUUUUUUUUCCUGCCCCUUUGUUUACCAUAUGCAUGCCCUUUAUGCAAGUAAAUGUAUUUUUUAAUGUAGCGUGCUAGCAAGGUAAAUACUGCCAAUCGGUUGAAGCUUGAGGUGAAUCAUACAUCAGGUUCAAAAUCAUAUUAUCAUCGUAUGUAUGAAAUGGUGAGAUUGAGGAUGACUUCAAAAUGUUUUAUACUAAAUUUAAUCAAUGACUGAUAUGUCGCCUCAUUUAUAAUUAUGUGUUGGAAAUCUCUGAGGAGCCUCAAUUGGUGCCUAAAGAAGUCGGUGUGUAUUAUGAUGCCCAUCACAAGAGGGCUACCGGCACAUGGAUCCAUCCAAAAGCUCAAGAGAACCAUGAAUAAAUGAAGGCUUCGCAUGCACAACCAACAGAGAAUGACAUUCUAUUAACAAGAAGCAAGAUAUUUCAGGAAGUUGUGAAGCCAAAAUCUAGGUUUACUCAUGGAGUUGGCUAUGGUGCGAGGCAUCAUGCUAGGCCAAGAUCAACUCCUCGUUUCCAUGCAGAAGGUAAUGAUUCUGAGAGAGAAUCUCGUCGAGUGUUGGAGCAGAAUAUUGGAAGUCAACAAGCUCAUAUAGAAAGUCAACAAGCUCAGAUUGGAAUAUUGCAGUCAUCACAUGCCAAUCUGGAAGCUCAAAUUCGAGAUUUGCUUGGUCGACUUGAAGCAAGAGAUGCCUCUCACUCAAAUCCUUGACUGUAAAUAAAAAACUUCAACUUCUUGUUUUUCUUUUUUGGUCUAUCUAUUGGCUAUAUUGGUUAGAUUUCAAUUAUUCAAGGGACAUCAACUUCAUAGAAUAUGGAAGGAAGUUUUUUUAUUUGUCCAAUAAAUUGCAUUGGGUUACUGAAAAAAAUGAUAAGCUUGGAUUUUUCUGUAGGAUGGAACUCAUAAUUUGUCUUGACAUUCUUCCUAAUA